GGGCAUACGACCAAGUCCAAAAUCACCUUCCGGACCUAAGAAACCAUCAAAACUUCGUUGGGGGUCAAAUAUACAAAAGUUAAACUUGGUCAACUAUUCAACUUAAAGUUUCCUAGUUGAGAAUCAUUCUUCCAAAUCAAUCCCGAAUCACCUAAAAACCAAAAUCGAUAAUUCACACAAGUCAUAAUACAUCAUAUGAAGCUACUUAAGACUUCAAGCAGCUAAACGAAAUGCAAAUGCUCAAAACUACCAGUUGGGUCGUUAUAUGCACACUUAGGUUCUAACCUUAGAAGACUUAGGCUUGACUUGAACUUAAGGAUGUUUUCUUGUAUUCUAAUUUAAUUAUGCUCAACCUGCAAGUAUGUGUUUACUUGAUUUAUCCUGCUUUUUUAUACUAUAUAACAUGUUGGUACCUACUUAACUGUUUAAUCUUAAUAUUAUUACUGCUUCACCAUAAUGAUCUGUUACUACUUUAUACCUUGUCAUUACAUUUUUUCUAUCGAGUCUUGGCCAUACAUAAUCACACACAAUAGAUGUAAGGUUUGUCUUUUCACUCCUUCAAACCUUAUUUAAAAAAUCUAUAGUUUCAGAGAACGACUUUGUUAGGCUAACUGACAUAAUGUAUCGGAGUCAUUUAGUCCAAUUCCAAAAUUGGGAAACACUAUACUUUUAUCAAACAUAGGUCAUGUUACAUAAACCUUAGGUCGGUCAGUCCUUAAUAUUGACUCACAAUUAGGAAAGUCACAUUAAUGUCAACAGGACAUACACCCAAUGACAUGCUUUCUACGGAACAACGAAUCAAUCCAGAUAAGACACUAAAGAUCCAGAGAAAAACACUCACCAAACCUUUCACCCAUUUUUAGAUGGAAAUCAACCGUGACUUCCCGGAGAUUAACAUGGUUAUGGGAGCGCCUCAUAAAUUGAAGCAGUGGUGGAAAAACAUUCGGCGGGAUCACGAGGAUGAGAUCAGGACACACCUAGAAGCACUAACUGCCCUGAUAAACAUCCGAGUUGAUAAAGUACUCACCAGGUUAUUGAUAGAGUUUUGGGACCCAUCCAAGGUGGUCUUCAAAUUUGUUGAUUGUGAGCUAAAUCGAUACUGGAGGAUAUUACCAGUUUCACAAAGUUACCAUUUACUGGGCAGAAGCCAAUACUUCCAGACAUCAUGCCGGACAACAGGUUCCUCCAUGCACUAGGACUAAUGAGAAACAUGAACUUAUGAAGCAUCAAGGAUGGAUGGGUAGCCUGGACCAUCUAUUUGACAGAUCCAGACACCAGGAGAGCUGUGAGUGACAUCUUGAGGAAUUCUAGUAUCAUCAAGUGGAAUAUGAGAGCCUUCUCCCCCUAACCUUUGGGCGGAUCAAUAUCAACCUACUGCCUUUAGUUUUGGCUACUUUCCGAGGAAACCUACAGGUCACUCUUAUUCCUAUGAUAUUUGCAGAGACAUUUCGAGCACUAUCAAUGUUUUUCAGAGGAUAUGAUUUCCUCAGAUGCUGCAAGUUGCUACUGCAGAUAUGGGCUACAAAGCAUUUCUUCCCGAGGGAGCCGACCAUUGACUACUUUGGGCUACACCACAUGGCCAGAAGGAAUGGCGGGAACUUUUGACCUAUCCGAGUGGAGAAUCCAUUAACUAGAAUCUUUCUUGAUUGAGUGGUAGAGCAAUUAUAAGAAGCCCGGGGAUGUACUUUGACAAAUUGGUAGGUCUGGAGGGGAUUCACAUGUACACACCACUGAGCAUGCUGAGGUAGUUUGGUUUGAUUCAAGUCGUGCCUCUCUAGUCAAGGACAUCUUUAUACGAGGAUAUUACAAUAGGUUUAUUACAAUCCCGAGAGUAAGAAGGCUCCUCGACAAGUGGAACGAUCUAAUCACAAUGGGAACGGGGCGAUACCCCUAGUGCACGCCUGAGUACUUUGUUAUCUUUUUUAAUUUAACUGUACUUUUAUCUCUUUCUCCUAUUCCUCUUUGGAAUAGUCUGUUUACUAUAAAUAGAUAUCUCUCUUUUUGAUGUCUAGUAAUUUAUCAUGAAUUAUGUACUUUGAUAUAUUUAAAUUAUGUAAAAAAAAAAAGUAAUAUAGAUAUCCAAUAUUAUUUCUUUA
This 2096-nucleotide long non-coding RNA is filed under the name Nicotiana benthamiana. Its description in RNAcentral is "long non-coding RNA (NBEN_LNC009185)". The record is from RNAcentral. Lineage: Eukaryota; Viridiplantae; Streptophyta; Magnoliopsida; Solanales; Solanaceae.